RNAcentral lists this ribosomal RNA (253 nucleotides) under uncultured bacterium. RNAcentral's name for it is "partial 16S ribosomal RNA". It matches the Rfam family "Bacterial small subunit ribosomal RNA", at positions 524 to 776 of the family's 1533-position model. The record is from RNAcentral.
UACGAAGGUGGCAAGCGUUGUUCGGAUUUACUGGGCGUACAGGGAGCGUAGGCGGUUGGAUAAGCCCUCCGUGAAAUCUCCAGGCUUAACCUGGAAAGUGCAGAGGGGACUGUUCAGCUAGAGGAUGGGAGAGGAGCGCGGAAUUCCAGGUGUAGCGGUGAAAUGCGUAGAUAUCUGGAGGAAUACCGGUGGCGAAGGCGGCAUCCUGGACCGAGAUUGACACUGAGGAGCGAAAGCCAGGGGAGCAAACGGG